Molecule: ribosomal RNA, 501 nt
Filed under: Bungarus multicinctus (many-banded krait)
Lineage: Eukaryota; Metazoa; Chordata; Lepidosauria; Squamata; Elapidae
Description: partial 12S ribosomal RNA
Source: RNAcentral
GCCCAGCUGUAACAAAACAAUUAGCAUAACAAAUUGUUCGCCAAAUAACUACGAGUAAAAACUUAAAAUUUAAAAGACUUGACGGUACUUCACAUCAACCUAGAGGAGCCUGUCUAAUAACCGAUAAUCCACGAUUAACCCAACCCCACCUAGCCCAACAGUCUAUAUACCGCCGUCGCCAGCUUACCUUGUGAAAGAAACAAAGUAAACAUAAUAACACCCAUAUUUAACACGACAGGUCGAGGUGUAACUAAUGGUGUGGAAUAAGAUGGGCUACAUUCUCUAACUCAGAGAACACGGAUAAAUCAUGAAAAUAAAAACUGAAGGAGGAUUUAGCAGUAAGAUAAGAACACAAUACUUAACUGAAGCUAGAGCAAUGAAGUGCGCACACACCGCCCGUCAUCCCUGUAAUCACAUAACACCCUUAUAAAUAAUUACUCUAACACCUUAAAACAGGGCAAGUCGUAACAUGGUAAGUGUACUGGAAAGUGUACUUAGAAA